Molecule: long non-coding RNA, 679 nt
Organism: Oncorhynchus tshawytscha (Chinook salmon)
Lineage: Eukaryota; Metazoa; Chordata; Actinopteri; Salmoniformes; Salmonidae
Source: Ensembl
GGCUGAGGCAGCGCGCGCACAGCACACACAGACCAACCGACAGCUGACUAGCCCAGCCGGGUAGAGCGAGAGGGAGAGGUGGGGAACGAAACGACAGACGGUGGAAUUGCAUGGAAGACUCACCGCACUCUUGUAGAAACACCGAUAUUGAAACACCUGAGGCUGGAGCUGCUGUGAUCUGAGGCACUGUCCCUACAUGCCUGUACCAGUCUAAGGACUCCAGUAGUUGCUUUCAAACACACCAUCUCCACAUUACCACAGAACCAUAGGGUCCAACCCUGGCCUCUGCUCCAAGGAGCCACCUAACCACCCUCCACACCCAUUGAUGGUUCUAGAAGAAGAUCUGAGCUGCUUGUGUCCCACACGACGGCAGGCCAUGCAUUUUGCCUAAACCCAUCCUCCCUCUUCCUCUCAACCAAUCCGAGGCAGCCAUGAACCCCCAGGAGGCGGAGUUAGGCCAGGAACUGAGCGAGGACGUGGAAGCCGACUUGCCCCCUCCUCAACGCCGUCGCCACGACAACAACACUGCCACAAACAGCAGGCGACCCCGGCAGCCUAGCAACCAUAGUAGUGAAAACAACAACCAUGCUGCACCGCGCUACAGGAGGUAUAAUGAGGCCCCUGGUGCAGGUGGCAGCAGAAUCAGAGGAGCCCCACAGCGGAGGUCAACAGAGGAGCC